RNAcentral lists this ribosomal RNA (250 nucleotides) under uncultured bacterium. Its description in RNAcentral is "partial 16S ribosomal RNA". It matches the Rfam family "Bacterial small subunit ribosomal RNA", at positions 524 to 773 of the family's 1533-position model. The record is from RNAcentral.
UACGUAGGGGGCAAGCGUUGUCCGGAAUUAUUGGGCGUAAAGCGCGCGCAGGCGGUUUCUUAAGUCUGAUGUGAAAGCCCACGGCUCAACCGUGGAGGGUCAUUGGAAACUGGGAGACUUGAGUGUAGGAGAGGAAAGCGGAAUUCCACGUGUAGCGGUGAAAUGCGUAGAGAUGUGGAGGAACACCAGUGGCGAAGGCGGCUUUCUGGCCUAUAACUGACGCUGAGGCGCGAAAGCGUGGGGAGCAAAC